GGGAAGGGGUGUAUUUAUUAGAUACAAAACCAAUACCACCUCGGUGGCUAUUGUGGUGACUCAUAAUAACUGAUCGAAUCGCAUGGCCUCGUGUUGGCGAUGGUUCAUUCAAAUUUCUGCCCUAUCAGCUUUCGAUGGUAGUGUAGUGGCCUACCAUGGUUUCAACGGGUAACGGGGAAUAAGGGUUCGAUUCCGGAGAGGGAGCCUGAGAAACGGCUACCACAUCCAAGGAAGGCAGCAGGCGCGCAAAUUACCCAAUCCCGACACGGGGAGGUAGUGACAAUAAAUAACAAUAUAGGGCUCUUUUGGGUCUUAUAAUUGGAAUGAGUACAAUUUAAAUCCCUUAACGAGGAACAAUUGGAGGGCAAGUCUGGUGCCAGCAGCCGCGGUAAUUCCAGCUCCAAUAGCGUAUAUUAAAGUUGUUGCAGUUAAAAAGCUCGUAGUUGAACUUCAGACCUGGCUGGGCGGUCCGCCUAACGGCGUGUACUGUCUGGCUGGGCCUUA
Molecule: ribosomal RNA, 504 nt
Filed under: uncultured fungus
Lineage: Eukaryota; Fungi
Description: SSU rRNA
Rfam family: Eukaryotic small subunit ribosomal RNA
Source: RNAcentral